RNAcentral lists this ribosomal RNA (473 nucleotides) under uncultured bacterium. RNAcentral describes it as "bacterial SSU rRNA". It matches the Rfam family "Bacterial small subunit ribosomal RNA", at positions 28 to 483 of the family's 1533-position model. The record is from RNAcentral.
AGCGAACGUUAGCGGCGCGCCUAACACAUGCAAGUCGCACGAGAAAGGGAGCAAUCCCCGGUACAGUGGCGCACGGGUGAGUAACACGUAGAUGACCUUCCCUGGAGUGGUGGAUAACCUGCCGAAAGGCGGGCUAAUACAGCAUGGGACCACAUGGUUUUGACCGAGUGGUGAAAGCGGGCCUCUGUUCACAAGCUCGCGCUCUGGGAUGGGUCUGCGUCCCAUCAGCUAGUUGGUGAGGUAAUGGCUCACCAAGGCAUCGACGGGUAGCUGGUCUGAGAGGAUGACCAGCCACACUGGAACUGAGACACGGUCCAGACUCCUACGGGAGGCAGCAGUGGGGAAUCUUGCGCAAUGGGCGAAAGCCUGACGCAGCGACGCCGCGUGGGUGAUGAAGGCCUCGGUUGUAAGCCUCGUGGGAGGAACGAACCGUACGGGGCGUAACGACCCUCCGUACCUCGACGGUACCGUCC